RNAcentral lists this ribosomal RNA (497 nucleotides) under uncultured bacterium. RNAcentral's name for it is "partial 16S ribosomal RNA". It matches the Rfam family "Bacterial small subunit ribosomal RNA", at positions 28 to 507 of the family's 1533-position model. The record is from RNAcentral.
GAUGAACGCUGGCGGCGGGCCUAACACAUGCAAGUCGAGCGAAAGGAGGAGGAAGCUGCCUUUUUGACGGUAGCGGGGCAGGGGGGAGUAAAAUGUCGGGAACACAGCUAGAAGAAUGGGAAUACCUAGGGAAACCGGAGGUAAAAACGGAAAAAAUUCGGAAGCCCAUGGUGGAAAAGUGAAGGACGGUCUUGCAGCGACUGAGCGAUGAAGCCGCGCUGCAUUGGCUAGUUGGAAGGGUAACGGCUUACCUAGGCGACGAUGCCUAGCCGAGCUGAGAGGAUGAUCGGCCACACUGGAACUGAGACACGGUCCAGACUCCUACGGGAGGCAGCAGUAGGGAAUAUUGCGCAAUGGGCGCAAGCCUGACGCAGCAACGCCGCGUGUGUGAUGAAGGUCUUCGGGUUGUAAAGUACUUUUAUUGGGGAGGAGGGGAUUUAAGUUAAUCCCUUCGCUCAUUGACGUUACCCGCACAGGAAGCCCCGGCUAACUCCGUG